AAGAGACAGCAGCCGCCGCGGGAAUACGAAGGGUGCAAGCGUUACUCGGAAUUACUGGGCGUAAAGCGUGCGUAGGCGGCUUCUUAAGUCGGAUGUGAAAUCCCUGAGCUUAACUUAGGAAUUGCAUUCGAUACUGGGAAGCUAGAGUAUGGGAGAGGAUGGUAGAAUUCCAGGUGUAGCGGUGAAAUGCGUAGAGAUCUGGAGGAAUACCGAUGGCGAAGGCAGCCAUCUGGCCUAAUACUGACGCUGAGGUACGAAAGCAUGGGGAGCAAACAGGAUUAGAUACCCGCGUAGUCCCUGUCUCUUAUAC
RNAcentral lists this ribosomal RNA (310 nucleotides) under uncultured bacterium. Its description in RNAcentral is "partial 16S ribosomal RNA". It matches the Rfam family "Bacterial small subunit ribosomal RNA", at positions 503 to 807 of the family's 1533-position model. The record is from RNAcentral.